Molecule: long non-coding RNA, 1504 nt
Filed under: Olea europaea (common olive)
Lineage: Eukaryota; Viridiplantae; Streptophyta; Magnoliopsida; Lamiales; Oleaceae
Description: long non-coding RNA (OEUR_LNC006701)
Source: RNAcentral
CAUGUGCACAGAACCCCUUUUCUGCCAGCCUGCUGCAUCAGCUAACUAUUUAACAACAAUAAAAAGUGAAAACAGAAAGGUUGUUUUCAAUCAUUGGAGACUUAAAAAUUAACUCCAGAUCAAGAAAAUUGUGGUAACUAAUGCAAAUUUUAUUACACUGGCAGAUAUAACAAUAGAAUAAUGAUUGCAACUUCCAACAACUGGAAAAAUAAACAGAAUAGACAGAUCAACAUCCGAGCUACAUUUAUAGUUUAUUUAAAACAAACAAAGUAUUUGGUGUGGCAAUUUUAACUAAUAACAUUGAAGAAUUAAAAGACAACACAAAGUGUGUGAAGGGAAAUAUAAAUCUUAUUUCCAAUUGCAUUAAACAUUUGAAUAAGAGGUCAUUAUAUAAGAUGUCUACUUUUCAACCAAUCCCCAUUCAAGAAUACCGAUUUUAUAUCCGAGAACAGAUAAGUUUCAUUUAUGCUAGACCUUAUCCCAUAAUGCCAUUUGUCAAAGCUGAAGUCAGUUUUAUAAUGAACUAACAAACAAGAUCUUGUAUCUACAAUAUUCGCCGUCCUAAUUCGAAGAAAAAAAAGGUCAAGAAUUACAAAGAAACAGAACCACCCAAGAAUUUUUCAAACAAUAACAAAUUUUGACACGAUUACAAGCAAACAUUUACAAAGAGAGAAUCAAAAUGCAAAAGAAGCUCAAGUAGCGAAUAUAGAAUUAUAGAAAUGUUUGGCCUUGCUCAGUAAAUGACCAAUUGAAGAUGUAUAGGACGAAGCAGAUCUAAAAUGAUUCCAACAAGUUCAAAAAUGUAAUUUUACAGCAACUACUUUAAUAUCCAGCUAAAAUUGGAAAAUUAUGAAUCAGAAAUGGAAAUGAAACGGAAUACACGCCAAGAAACGGAAAUAAUGCAUACCCAGAUAGAAAGAAAUAAAAGAAAACUGAAAUUGAAUGCGGCAAAACAUAAUAUGCCAAGACCCGUUAAUCACACGCAAAAUGUAAACCCUGAAACUUGUAUUAUUAUUGUAUCAAUUCAAAUAGUAUGCAUAUAUUGCAGCAGAAAUUGAACCUUUCCGCCGAGAUAGAUGGUCUCCACAUCAACAGAAACGGAGUCGCUGCUUGAUUCACCCAUGGCCGUCGGUUCGCCCUCUCCUCUCCCUCUCUCUCUCCCCCUCCCUCUCUCUAAAUUCUUCUAUAUAUAUAAAAGUGUGGUUGAAGAGAGAAUUCUUGGAAAUUUGAUGGCUUCUAUACGAAGCGAUUCUUUCUCGGCCCUCCCCUUAAUUCGUCUCUCUGAAUUUACUUAUAUAUCUGGAAAUUAAUCUGCGGUUAACCUCCACCGACGCUUCCUUUCUCCUCUUGCUCCCUCUCUCUCCUCCAUUCACUUCUAGAGAGAGUGAAAGAACUAGUGACAGCUUAGCACUUUUGACAGCUCACAGAAUAUGCCACCCCACCGAUACAAUUAGAUAGGCUCAAAGUCCAACCUUGCCAAUGUUUUUGCCCCUUUGGCCAUCCC